UACAGAUUUUAAUGUUGCACUUCCUGCUUUCAGUGAUGUAAAAAUCGUCAUUUUGCGUCACUGGAAGCAGGAAGUCUCAUAUCCCUGUAGAGGGGGUGAGACUACAAACACUACUUCCUCAUUUUUUUUUCACUCACGCUACAGACCUAUUACAGAUCAGUGGGUGGGACUUCACUUGCAGAAACAAAAAAAUAUAACCGCCAUCUUGUUUGGAAGCUAAGCGGAGGCACUGUCGAGCCAGACGUUAUGCUAAUCAAUGUAAUAUGGAAGAAAUUUCGAAAGUAUGAUGGUUGAAUCAGAUGUUCGUGGCUACCUUUAUGAGCCGCAAUAUAGCGAAGAGCAGCUGAGGCUGAACAGCAGGCGGCUGAGGAUGCUGCAGCCGAGGCAGAGGACCUGCCUGUCGCGGACGAGGAGCCCGGACUGGCUCGAGCUGGGGCGGACUGCUGGUGCCUGUGCUCUCGCUGUGCGCCUACGGACACACGGACGUCUGACUGUAAAGGACCAGAAGUGAUUGAACAGCAUGAUAGAGUUCACUGAGAUCCAGGAAGAAAUACCUGAUUCCAAGAAUAAAAGUGUAAAACAGUUUCACUUUCUAAUGUAAAAGGAGCUCUGGAAAGACUCUAUAAAGGUGACAUAUAAGCAUAAUUAAGCCUUUUUACUAUACUGUAUCUUAUAUAAGUUUUCCUUUGGUGUUUGUUGUGUGACGACCCUGUGAGUGAACUCCUCCAGGAGCCUGGCAGGUGGAGUCGGGUCAUCAGGAAGAUUUAGCUCACCUGGUCUGGUUGCAAGACUAUAUAAGCUGGAUGCAGUCAGCCAGUGUCUCUGCCCAGUCUCUGCUGAAACCUUACUGUUUAUGGUAAAUGUCCUUAAUGCUUUCCAGCUGCUCACCGGUGACAUGCCUGGCCGCCUUGAUGACCCACUACAGAUGUAAAGAAUCCCUGUGGCAGCCUCAUUUUAAAAUCCAGAAUCACAACCUAACAUCAUACAAGUUCUUGGUAGACUUUGCACCCUCUUAUAAUAUCCCAUUAGUCAAGCAGUGGCAGUCAGUGACACACUGUUCAAAAUGCUUAUGUUGACACUAUUCUGAAGGCUUGAGUGUUGCUUCUGUCUGUGAAGAUGUGAGUUUGCUGUAUGUAUGUCAGCCAAUUCACGCCUGGAUACAUGCUGAGAUGCAAAUAUAUAUGCUGUGAAAGAUGAGUCUUUGAGGAAGUUUAUUUGUAGCUCAUCUGAUGGUUUCUACAAAGUUUCACUGCCACAGGUGUGGUCCGAGAGGUGCAGAGAGAGGAGGGAAGUGACUCUCUAAAGAGGAUAUGUUUAGAAAGGCCAGGAAAUUGAAAAACCUUCAGAGCUUAACUGAUAGCAGAAGUUCACGGUAUGUUGACUUGAUGUUGUGUUAUUUUAGAUGUUCUAGAGUUGUGACUCAAACGACAACAAAAUCCUCAAAAGCCCUUUAUGUUUGUCACAAGUCCACUAUCACUCAUAUUCAUAUUCACUUUUAAAGGCUGUACAAACAUUGUAAAUAUCAUAUCUAUUAAAAGCAAAUAGGAUCAACAAAAUGACCAAUGUGAAUAACCACAGACAGAAUGUAUCUAUUUCUACUUCAGUAAAAUCUGUUAUGAAUGUAUCAAUUAAAAGUUGAUACUACACUUCACUAACACAUGAUAAUGGAACUUAAAGUGUAAAGUAAUUGAGAACUUCUGUAAACAUAAUGUAACAACAGUGCACAUAUUUAUUCAUUUAUUUAAACAAUUAGGAAUUACAGUUAUAUUUUUGAGUUUUACAGGUGGCAGAGAAAUCCAUUUUCACUGACUCAGUCAAUCAUUACAUGAGAACCAUUUGAUUUGGAAUAUUUACAGUAUAUUAUUGAUUCUGCACGUUUUUAAAACUACAUAAAAAGACAAAACAAACAAAGUCAUGCAGUCUGUCUCACUGUGCAUCUCUCUCCUUCUUUAUUAUUUCUUCAUCUGAAAAAAAAACCAGAACAUAAAUCAAUUAAAUAUAUUAAUUUGUCAAAGUUGUACAGUUUGCUUGACCACUUCAAUCUGGAGUUCCCCCAGCUCUUCUAUACAGUCGAUAGUUGUGGCCAGCAGAUUCACUGCAGGCGACUGAUGUUCUAUAACAAUUAUAUUAACUGUUGGGCUGGAUGAUUGGUUCAUUUUAAUAACAUUUCUUAAGAACUUAAAAACAAACUUAUUAGUAUGACAAGCUUCAUCCUCAUGCAGGACAGCUUCACUAUUGUUGAUGUGUUAAAUAAAGAUGCUAUCUGUAAUGUGUUUAAUUCAAUUAAUUGUUAAUAUCUAUGUAUGUGCCGUGGAGCAUUUAAAACACACAAACCAGCACAUUUUCUCUGGUUGGAGACACUCUUCACUCUGCUGCUGCUAGAUGUUGAUCGGGCACAUGUGCUGGUUGGCCGUGCUCAACUUCAGAACAGAGGCAGUGAAAUGAAGUGAUGCAUUUUACGUCACUUUACUGUCAAACUGUGUUUAUCAAAAUCAGCACAAUAAAGCUGAAAUAUCCCA
Long non-coding RNA from Dicentrarchus labrax (European seabass), 2519 nucleotides. RefSeq lists it as uncharacterized. Lineage: Eukaryota; Metazoa; Chordata; Actinopteri; Moronidae. The transcript has 2 exons. The record is from RefSeq and is a predicted model, not a curated record.